Molecule: long non-coding RNA, 812 nt
Filed under: Panax ginseng (ginseng)
Lineage: Eukaryota; Viridiplantae; Streptophyta; Magnoliopsida; Apiales; Araliaceae
Description: long non-coding RNA (PGIN_LNC011234)
Source: RNAcentral
UCAAAGCGGUCGACAUUGCGGGUGUGGUUUGAAGUUGAAAAAAAGGAGGAGUCUAAAAACUAAUCGAUCGAUCGGAACAAGCCAACAAGUACAGACUACUGAGGGGGGAGAGCAACAGAGAGAUAGCAAGAGUAGAGCAGCAAGUCAGCAACAGAGAGUCAGAGAGGGAGAAAACGACUUUGACUUCGGCAACUCGCGCUACUCUGGUAUUCUUUUUCUGCUCUUCUUCUCUAAUUCUCUUCUUUCUUUAUUUCUGGUGUAUUCUGCUUUGUUAACUGCUGCCGCUCAAUUUUUUUUUCCUUCUUUUAUUUCAGAUUCUGCUUUUUUGACUGCUGCUGCCAAGGAUUAUUGCUUUCUUUUAUCCAAACAGGCCUUUAGCGAUUACUGCUGGUUAAAAGUGAUGUGCAUGUGGCCUAUGGGUCCAUAUGUCUCCCACUAACCAAGACUAUAGGCUUUGACUACUGCUGCUAAUUCCUGCUUUCUUUUAUCCAAACCUUUGUUAAAGGACUGCUGGUUAAAAGUAAUGUGCAUGUGGGUUGUGGGUCCAUAUGUCUCCCACUAAAGAGAUACUUUUGAUUUAGUGGGUUACCAAAAUUAACAUGAAGUCAUAUGCUUUGCCACGUAUUAACUACAAGUUACAACUUUAAAUUAAAAUGUUUUAACUUUCAUGCCUAUUUAUAUGCUAAACUGACAUUUAAGUUCCCACUUAAAUAUACCAAAUAAUUAUUUUGUAUAUUCAAAAAUAUCAUAGUAGUUUGACAUUCUUUCACUACACACACUUGAACUUUCGUUCUUUUUUUGCAGUUUUAACC